GACGAACGCUGGCGGCGUGCUUAACACAUGCAAGUCGAACGGUGAAGCGCCUUCCUUUUUGGUGGGUGUGGAUGAGUGGCGAACGGGUGAGUAACACGUGAGUAACCUGCCCCCUUCUUCUGGAUAACCGCAUGAAAGUGUGGCUAAUACGGGAUAUUCUGGGUCUGUCGCAUGAUGGGUCUGGGGAAGAUAUUGUUUCGGUGGGGGAUGGGCUCGCGGCCUAUCAGCUUGUUGGUGGGGUGAUGGCCUACCAAGGCGAUGACGGGUAGCCGGCCUGAGAGGGUGGGCGGUCACAGAGGGAAUGCAACACGGAGAAGACUACGGCGGGAGGCAGUAGUGGAGAAUAUUGCACAAUGGGAGCAAGGCUGAUGCAGCGACGCGGGGUGGAGGAUGGAGGCCGUCGGGUUGAGAACCUCUGUCGGCAGUGAAGAAGGCCUGCCUAGUUUGUGGGUGGGUUGACGGUAGCUAGAUAAGAAGCGCCGGCUAACUACGUG
RNAcentral lists this ribosomal RNA (494 nucleotides) under uncultured bacterium. RNAcentral describes it as "partial 16S ribosomal RNA". It matches the Rfam family "Bacterial small subunit ribosomal RNA", at positions 28 to 507 of the family's 1533-position model. The record is from RNAcentral.